This 924-nucleotide ribosomal RNA is filed under the name uncultured bacterium. RNAcentral describes it as "bacterial SSU rRNA". It matches the Rfam family "Bacterial small subunit ribosomal RNA", at positions 572 to 1498 of the family's 1533-position model. The record is from RNAcentral.
UAGGUGGUUCGAUACGUCGGAUGUGAAAAUCAGGGGCUCAACCCCUGACCUGCAUCCGAUACGGUCGAGCUAGAGUUUGGUAGGGGAGACUGGAAUUCCUGGUGUAGCGGUGGAAUGCGCAGAUAUCAGGAGGAACACCGAUGGCGAAGGCAGGUCUCUGGGCCAAUACUGACACUGAGGAGCGAAAGCGUGGGGAGCGAACAGGAUUAGAUACCCUGGUAGUCCACGCCGUAAACGGUGGGCGCUAGUUGUGCGAACCUUCCACGGUUUGUGCGACGCAGCUAACGCAUUAAGCGCCCCGCCUGGGGAGUACGAUCGCAAGAUUAAAACUCAAAGGAAUUGACGGGGCCCCGCACAAGCAGCGGAGCAUGCGGCUUAAUUCGACGCAACGCGAAGAACCUUACCAAGGCUUGACAUAUACAGGAAUAUGGCAGAGAUGUCAUAGCCGCAAGGUCUGUAUACAGGUGGUGCAUGGUUGUCGUCAGCUCGUGUCGUGAGAUGUUGGGUUAAGUCCCGCAACGAGCGCAACCCUCGUUCUGUGUUGCCAGCAUUAAGUUGGGGACUCACAGGAGACUGCCGGGGUUAACUCGGAGGAAGGUGGGGAUGACGUCAAAUCAUCAUGCCCCUUAUGUCUUGGGCUGCACGCAUGCUACAAUGGCUGGUACAAACGGCUGCGAUACCGCAAGGUGGAGCGAAUCCGAUAAAGCCAGUCUCAGUUCGGAUUGGGGUCUGCAACUCGACCCCAUGAAGUCGGAGUUGCUAGUAAUCGUAGAUCAGCAACGCUACGGUGAAUACGUUCCCGGGGCUUGUACACACCGCCCGUCACAUCACGAAAGUCGGUAACACCCAAAGUCAGUGGCCCAACCGUAAGGAGGGAGCUGCCAAAGGUGGGAUCGGUGAUUGGGAUGAAGUCGUAACAAGGUA